AGUGAACGCUGGCGGUAGGCCUAACACAUGCAAGUCGAACGGCAGCACAGUAAGAGCUUGCUCUUACGGGUGGCGAGUGGCGGACGGGUGAGGAAUACAUCGGAAUCUACUUUUUCGUGGGGGAUAACGUAGGGAAACUUACGCUAAUACCGCAUACGACCUACGGGUGAAAGCAGGGGAUCUUCGGACCUUGCGCGAUUGAAUGAGCCGAUGUCGGAUUAGCUAGUUGGCGGGGUAAAGGCCCACCAAGGCGACGAUCCGUAGCUGGUCUGAGAGGAUGAUCAGCCACACUGGAACUGAGACACGGUCCAGACUCCUACGGGAGGCAGCAGUGGGGAAUAUUGGACAAUGGGCGCAAGCCUGAUCCAGCCAUGCCGCGUGGGUGAAGAAGGCCUUCGGGUUGUAAAGCCCUUUUGUUGGGAAAGAAAAGCAGCAGGUUAAUACCCCGCUGUUCGGACGGGACCCAAAGAAUAAGCACCGGCGAACUUCGU
This 491-nucleotide ribosomal RNA is filed under the name uncultured bacterium. RNAcentral describes it as "partial 16S ribosomal RNA". It matches the Rfam family "Bacterial small subunit ribosomal RNA", at positions 29 to 506 of the family's 1533-position model. The record is from RNAcentral.